CUGACUGAAGGGAAACAUUGUAACGGAGUGGGAUGGCUCUGUGCUCUAUUACGUAGUGGGAUAAAAAUAACUAGCAUAUUUAAGGCUGCAGAGGAAUCCCAGCGCAGGCAUAGGGUGGACAGCCUGCUGCUCGGCAGGAGCUCUCCCUGCCUUUCUCUGCUUGUCUCCCUCCCUCUCGCCCUCUCUCUCCGCACUCCGCUUUCCUCCCGCUCUCCCUCCCUAGCCUAUACGCAGAAGCCCACCAGAUCAGACGGUGUGAUGCAAACGGAAGACCGGUCGGGACUGGGGACCGGGACCCUGCCUAUGGAAGCUUGGCUGGGGCCUUGUAAACACACAGUCCCUUUUGUUUAUUGUCUAUUCCAUUUGCUUUGGCAAUGUAAACAUAUGUUUCCCAUGCCAUUGAAUUGAAUUGAGACAGAGGAGCGCGGCCCAAUGCAAUGCUAUGCACACCAGCACACUGACUGUCUGGUACGGCAUUUUUUCAAACCUGCCCACUGUUGUUCUUUUUAUUUUAUGAACAGUAGCUCUAGCAAACAAGUCUGGAAUUGUUUUGUGGAAUGAAUAGGCACAUCCAAGUCUGUCUACCCGUCUCCUCCAGCAUUAUGCUACGGUAGAGCACCUCUUGUUCUAUACAGCCCAGUCCUGAGCAUCGGUUCUAGCCAAGUUUGACUGAAAUGUUAAGCUUGACUUUGCCUUCAAAAUCUUCAGUUACAAUCCAUAAGAUGUACUUCUCUUGAUACUAAAUGUUCCUUCAAAACAUCCUUGCAGAACUGACAAGCAAGCAUUAACUGUUUUGAUUAAUCCUUUUUAAUCUCUCAACUACCCCGACAAUAACUUCUACCUGAGAUGUCCUCUACACACCUGACUGCAAUGUCUGUGCGGAAAUAAAUAGACAGCAAUCACAAACAGGAAAAGGACUGGGAGAGGAGAAGCAAGUACAGGGAGUGAACAUUUAAUAAACAACGGACAUCAAACAGAACACGGACAGCAUCUGGACAGGAGAAAACAAUAACGACAUCCAUGCUGACACAGGGGAACAAACUGAGGAACAGACAGAUAUAGAUGGGGCAAUCAACAAAGUGAAGGAGUCCAGGGGACUGAACUAGCUGGGGAUGGAAUGCUGCUGGAAACCAUCAAAAUCAAGACAACUACUCUGAUUGGAGACAACAGCUGCCAAGCGCUCAGUGAGUUGUGCAAGGUUUCUAAACUUUAUUUACCCAUCUUUAUACACUUUACACUUAUGUUUGUUGAAUAACAUAUCAAUAACUUGACAUUAAGUACAACUGUGAUGGGUAUACAAUUUUUACUUUCCAGUGACCAAUCCGGUCGUAGCCUUUUUUAAAUAGAAAAUAUUCCUCUGAGAUUAAAUCCUGACAACCUGGAAGAAUGUGGGUUUGGGGGUUUUGUUUGUCAACAACUUCGCAGUCCAAUCGCAGGGGUAAGGACAAGCUAUAGAAAGAUAAUUCCCAUUUGAGGCCACAGUCAAUACUAAGGAAAUACUUUCAAGAGACUGUUGGAGCGGCUGCUGCAGGUAAGAGACUGUUGGAGCUGCUGCUGCAGGUAAGAGACUGUUGGAGCUGCUGCUGCAGGUA
Long non-coding RNA from Salvelinus fontinalis (brook trout), 1592 nucleotides. RefSeq lists it as uncharacterized. The transcript is spliced from 3 exons. Lineage: Eukaryota; Metazoa; Chordata; Actinopteri; Salmoniformes; Salmonidae. The record is from RefSeq and is a predicted model, not a curated record.